ACUGCAGCGGGGGGUUAGAAAAGCCUCUCUGAGACUUUAGAUCCUACUAGACUAACUCCCCUUUUUCCUUUGCCAGUUGUGGAGACUUGCCAGGGGGAAGGCUGCUCGACAAGGGUAAAGGCAUUAGUAUUUCGGAAAGAUCAGCAUGCCAAUAAAGUCUUUCUGCAUUUCAAUUAGGGCCGGAUCAUUAAUGAGUCAUCUGAAAUGGCGCACUCUGAAUGAACAACUCCUUUUUAAAAUGUGGCAUCGGCUGCCUUUGAGGCCAGUGUGCUAAUAGAAAAGUUAAUUACAUCAGAAGUAUUCAUGUUAAUGUAUGUACUUUGACAGAAGCAAUAUAAUAAAAGGUUAGAGGAGUGUGUUCCAGUCCCCUGAUACCAGACACAUUUAAUUGCUUUGUCUUGGGUUCCACAGUCAGUCAUCUUGACAAUGGUGUAGUUGUAUAUUAAUCAUGAAUGGCUUGUUAAGCUUUGUUAAAUAAAAAAAGAGUAUUUUUGAUG
Micropterus salmoides (largemouth bass) is the source of this 497-nucleotide long non-coding RNA. RefSeq lists it as uncharacterized. The record is from RefSeq and is a predicted model, not a curated record. NCBI's taxonomy places the organism in Eukaryota, Metazoa, Chordata, Actinopteri, Centrarchiformes, Centrarchidae. The transcript is spliced from 2 exons.